UACGGAGGAUGCGAGCGUUAUCCGGAUUUAUUGGGUUUAAAGGGUGCGUAGGCGGAGUGUCAAGUCAGCGGUAAAAUUUCGGGGCUCAACCCCGUCGUGCCGUUGAAACUGUCGAGCUUGAGUGAAGUAGAGGUAGGCGGAAUUCCCGGUGUAGCGGUGAAAUGCGUAGAGAUCGGGAGGAACACCAGUGGCGAAGGCGGCCUACUGGGCUUUAACUGACGCUGAGGCACGAAAGCGUGGGUAGCAAACAGG
Molecule: ribosomal RNA, 252 nt
Filed under: uncultured Ruminococcus sp.
Lineage: Bacteria; Bacillati; Bacillota; Clostridia; Eubacteriales; Oscillospiraceae
Description: partial 16S ribosomal RNA
Rfam family: Bacterial small subunit ribosomal RNA
Source: RNAcentral